GCCCAGUGACAAAUGUUCAACGGCCGCGGUAUCCUAACCGUGCGAAGGUAGCGUAAUCACUUGUUCUUUAAAUGGGGACUAGUAUGAAUGGCACCACGAGGGUUGUACUGUCUCCUCUCUCCAAUCAGUGAAACUAAUCUCCCCGUGAAGAAGCGGGGAUAAUUAUAUAAGACGAGAAGACCCUAUGGAGCUUUAAACUUCUCUUCAAGCACUAACCUAUCAUUUUAGGUCACUGACCCCCCCACCACAAUUAUCACCGCGCCAUGGAGAUGAAUUUUAGGUUGGGGUGACCAUGGAGUACAAAAAAACCUCCACGCUGAACAGGCCUACUAAGCCUUGAGCAAAGGACCACAACCCAAAGCACUAAAAAACUAACACCCAUUGAUCCAAUUUUAUUUGAUCAACGAACCAAGUUACCCUAGGGAUAACAGCGCAAUCUACUUCAAGAGUUCUUAUCGACAAGUAGGUUUACGACCUCCAUGUUGGAUCAGGGUAUCCCAGUGGUGCAGCCGCUACUAAUGGUUCGUUUGUUCAACGAUUAAAACCCUACGUGA
Molecule: ribosomal RNA, 554 nt
Filed under: Scinax sp. 3 LFSRF-2021
Lineage: Eukaryota; Metazoa; Chordata; Amphibia; Anura; Hylidae
Description: partial large subunit ribosomal RNA
Rfam family: Bacterial large subunit ribosomal RNA
Source: RNAcentral